This 459-nucleotide ribosomal RNA is filed under the name uncultured Streptococcus sp. Its description in RNAcentral is "partial 16S ribosomal RNA". It matches the Rfam family "Bacterial small subunit ribosomal RNA", at positions 341 to 792 of the family's 1533-position model. Lineage: Bacteria; Bacillati; Bacillota; Bacilli; Lactobacillales; Streptococcaceae. The record is from RNAcentral.
ACGGAAGGCAGCAGUAGGGAAUCUUCGGCAAUGGGGGCAACCCUGACCGAGCAACGCCGCGUGAGUGAAGAAGGUUUUCGGAUCGUAAAGCUCUGUUGUAAGAGAAGAACGUGUGUGAGAGUGGAAAGUUCACACAGUGACGGUAACUUACCAGAAAGGGACGGCUAACUACGUGCCAGCAGCCGCGGUAAUACGUAGGUCCCGAGCGUUGUCCGGAUUUAUUGGGCGUAAAGCGAGCGCAGGCGGUUUAAUCAGUCUGAAGUUAAAGGCAGUGGCUUAACCAUUGUUCGCUUUGGAAACUGUUAGACUUGAGUGCAGAAGGGGAGAGUGGAAUUCCAUGUGUAGCGGUGAAAUGCGUAGAUAUAUGGAGGAACACCGGUGGCGAAAACGGCUCUCUGGUCUGUAACUGACGCUGAGGCUCGAAAGCGUGGGGAUCGAACAGGAUUAGAUACCCUGGUA